Molecule: long non-coding RNA, 3386 nt
Organism: Bombus pyrosoma
Lineage: Eukaryota; Metazoa; Arthropoda; Insecta; Hymenoptera; Apidae
Exons: 8
Source: RefSeq, a predicted model, not a curated record
CAAUUUUCUUCCGGUAGCGGUUAUGAGACAUCGCAAAGUUUCUUGAUCGUUAGCUUGAAUAUAAACGUGAAAAAUGUGAGUGUUUUAUUGACGAAGAUAAUUAAGACUGGGUGAAGGCGAAAUCGUAAUAAUGGCUGAAGAUCGCGGACAGUUUGAAGGGGCUCACCCGGAAUGGACAGCCUAUAUAAAUAUCCCCUCCAGGGGACGAGAAGACUCGGUGCAAACGAGUGAUCCAGGAGAAAGCCUCUCGUUCGAUUGGCCCCACGAACCGGUAUAACCAAGACAAUUCCAGGUAUCUCUUUCCACCGAGCGAUACAGAGCUGUCCGCCACGCAUCCUUCCUUCGUUCCACUACUGCUCUGAAAGCGACGCAUUUUUGUUAGAGAAAUUCAACUAACCAUUGGUGAGAGCACUCGAAGUCUUCUCUGUUUCGAGAUCAAUGGGUGAUCAAUUGGAUAUCUUUGCAAUACAUCUAAAAAAUUUAUUUCUUCAUACAGCAGAUGUCUAUAACUUGUUGUUACACUAUUAAACAACUAAUGAUAAAAAUGGAUUACAAACAUUGACGUAAGGGUCUCUUCACGCGCGAGGAAUGCAUACAGCCAUGGAUACGGGAAAACUAUUAAGCUUUAAACUACAGAGAGAAGCACUCAUAUGAUCCUAGUAAUAAUUCGACAUGGUUAAAUACCAAUCAGGAAAAUUUAGCAACGACCGGUUUAUCGGAUUCUAAACGUAGAACUGUUCUUCGAACUUCUAGAGCAGAAAGGAAAAUUGCCUGUAUAUACCGGUUACGAGUGAAUUUCAAGCGCCUUUUCCAAGCGCGAAAUAUUCGCGUCAGCUUGAACGAAACAGGAUCGAGAGAAGUGAGAGGCGGCGUGGUUAUAGUAUGUAUAUGGUGGCGCGAUCUUAUGCAAUCUCAUGAUAGGAAUCAUGGGUCAGUCACUUGGCCGGCUCAUGGUGAUUCCAUGCGUUAUGAUUCUCCGGCCAGGAAGAAAAACUGUCGUACGGCAGACAGCUUUUAUCGAAGACAUAGAAAACUAGCGUUUACGGAUUCUACUAUUGGCAUAAAUGAUACAUAAUGGUAAUAGUACAGUGCAUGAUUGCUGAUGGAAGAAAGAUGAUGGCAGUUGGAAUUAUAGAAAUUAGAGUAUGGCAUAUAUUGCAUGGAUGAAUAUGGAAUAUGAUUUGAAGAGGUUAAGAUAACGAGAAUGCAAGUGAUUAGAUCUGACGUUGAUUAAGGGGAAUUCCAAUUUUAGAAAGUAACACAGAGAAAGAUUUUAUGCUCGAAAUUUAUAAAGUAUUGAUCAUCGAUUGAAUGGCGAUUGAAUUUUUCUGUAUUCUUCCGCUUAGGACGAUUUUCCUCAACUUGAUUGAGCUUUUAAUGGAACAAUCAGAUAUUAGAAUAUAUUACAGUGAUAAGAUUCAAAAGUUAAGAGAACUGACAUAUUAAUUAAAUUAUCACGGAAUGUAGAUUUGUAGAUCUGAAUGUAAAUUUUGUGAGACGAUGGUUGACUAUAUGGAGUUAGAGAAUAGAAAGUGAAUGUAUUGAUGAAUAAUGCUUCUAUAGUAACUACCAGUGAGAUUGAUGUAAAAUCGAAUAACUAGAAUUGCUGCUCAGCGAACGUCCUUGAAAUUCAUCCUCUCACUCCUACUUCUAUAGAAAAUUACAUUCCUAACCUUCUCCAUCCAACAAGCGUCAUCUUAAGCAUAUCAAAUUAAAAUUUACGAUUACAAAAUCUACGAGACAAUGCAGAGAAUGACACGUUAUCUGGAGUUAUUCAACAGAGAGGACAGGUGUCUUCUACUGGUCGAACCGCUCAAGUACAUGGGAGUAGAAUGGUUAUGGGUGCUGUGUAAUCAUCAGCUCGCCGUGUAUCCGGGCAUUGAAUUCGAGGAUUCUCCCCGGCCUCCUUCAGAUCCACUCUUCAUUGUACGCUACUUUGAUUACUUGUCUUUCGCAAGAUGAAUGGCCAGGACCGUGUACAUCCAAUCACCAGGAAGAAACGAUCAAACCUGUAAUCGAUUCUGUAGAGAUAACACUUGAUUUUGUAAUCCUUUAUUACGAGAUAAUUUUGUUUAUUACAUAAAGCUAGGAAAUUUCGGAGAAUUAGUAAUUCUGUGAAAUUAAUAGCUGAUUUUUUAAUUUUUACUACAUGAUAUUUUUCUUUUUUAUCAUAGAAAAACUGGAUGUCAAUGAAACUUUAGAAAUUUGGUGAUUGAAAAUUUAUUGAUUUUGGAAAAUUUAAGAUCAUAAAAGUAACAAUUGAUUUAUCCUACAAAUUGCUUUUAUAUUAUAAAAGUAGGAUACUUAAAAAAUUCUUUAAGUUUAUAGCAAUUUACAAAUAAGAUCGGUUUAUGUUAGUAUAAAAUAUCGAUCUAUAAUAUGGUUAUAGCAGGUCAAUUUACAUACUUCUUUAUUGAGGAGGCCAAUAAAAUGGGAGAUAUACGAGAGUUUGAAACAAGGCAUCGAUAACUACCUUGGUCCGUGAUGUGGGACAGAACAGGAAGAAACGACAAUGACGUCUAUAGAUAUGACGCCAAUAGACAUUUCUUGGCAAUGUACAGAAAGACAUAAUCUUGAUUGUAUCUAGUCUUUAUAGCUGUUUUGUAUAAACUCAUUUCCAUUUUACUGCAUUUAUGUCCUUACUAUUUAUUUGAAAAUCAAUUUUUUUCUUUAUUUUAAUAAUUCUCUAUAUAUACAAAUAACUUCUAUAAUCUUAAAUAAAUGAAGAAAUAAUUAUACAAAUAUCUGAGAGUUCCUAAGGUUUUUGAUGGCAUAUUAAUGCGUAGGAAAUCAUUUGGUUUACACGUACAGAUAUUGAAACACAAGUACUUACGUAUGUAUAUACGAGACACAGCAAGUACACGUACCAAAUCGGAUUUUUUUGCGUGGUACCGGUGAAAGGGAAAAGAUACUGGCGCGGCGCGGUGGUCUGGCAGGCCUAGAUACCCAAGAUCUGUCUGUCCUCUCAUUUAUAUUCAGCAAAGUUCACGUUAUUUUAAGAUUAUCAUCUUCCAUAGAAUUUUUGUUUUUCUUCUCAUUUUGUUUAUUUGUAGGUUACAACUAUGGUACUACAUUUUGUAGCAAAUUGUAAAAUAUCAAUGAAGAGAAAACUAUAGUUAUUCUUUGUUUAUCUAUAAUGGAGAUCAAGACAAGAACUUCCACCUAGUAAUUGAUCAUCAAAGUUGUCAAAAUACUAUAUAAACAUAACAUUAAUACAUAAUACUAAUACAAACACAAUACUGGAAAAUACUACGAUUUCAUACAACGUAAUACCAUAAUAAUCAACAUAUAACAAAGAAGAUUCUAUUGAAAAGCAAAUAAACAUCGCCCCCAGGAAAAAGAUGGAGCUACUCGAUCUCAUAAACUCUUUACACACUCAAACAACG